Molecule: ribosomal RNA, 245 nt
Filed under: uncultured bacterium
Lineage: Bacteria
Description: partial 16S ribosomal RNA
Rfam family: Bacterial small subunit ribosomal RNA
Source: RNAcentral
UACAGAGGUCCCGAGCGUUGUUCGGAUUCAUUGGGCGUAAAGGGUGCGUAGGCUGCAUUGCAAGUCGGAUGUGAAAUCCCGGGGCUUAACCCCGGAACUGCAUUCGAUACUGCGGUGCUUGAGGACUCUAGAGGAAAUUGGAAUUCACGGUGUAGCAGUGAAAUGCGUAGAUAUCGUGAGGAAGACCAGUGGCGAAGGCGGAUUUCUGGAGAGUUCCUGACGCUGAGGCACGAAGGCCAGGGGAG